AACGUAGGAGGCGAGCGUUAUCCGGAUUUACUGGGUGUAAAGCGCGUGCAGGCGGUUCUGCAAGUCGUGCGUGAAAGCGCCCGGCUCAACCGGGCGAGGUCGUGCGAAACUGCAGAACUUGAGGUAGGUAGAGGCGUGUGGAAUUCCGGGUGUAGUGGUGAAAUGCGUAGAGAUCCGGAGGAACACCAGUGGCGAAGGCGACACGCUGGGCCUGACCUGACGCUCAGACGCGAAAGCAUGGGUAGCGAACGGG
RNAcentral lists this ribosomal RNA (253 nucleotides) under uncultured bacterium. RNAcentral's name for it is "partial 16S ribosomal RNA". It matches the Rfam family "Bacterial small subunit ribosomal RNA", at positions 524 to 776 of the family's 1533-position model. The record is from RNAcentral.